Molecule: small RNA, 18 nt
Filed under: Arabidopsis thaliana (thale cress)
Lineage: Eukaryota; Viridiplantae; Streptophyta; Magnoliopsida; Brassicales; Brassicaceae
Description: ATSL139260
Source: RNAcentral
UUUUUUUUUAGUUUUUUC